RNAcentral lists this unclassified non-coding RNA (677 nucleotides) under Hevea brasiliensis (rubber tree). The record is from RNAcentral. Lineage: Eukaryota; Viridiplantae; Streptophyta; Magnoliopsida; Malpighiales; Euphorbiaceae.
CUCAUUUCUCACCUAAAUUAAUUAAUUAAUUAAUAUCCAAACCUUAUCAACCCAACACCCACACCCCCUCAAUUAUGACUCCUCUCUCUUAAGGCAUUGCAUAUUUGAAGCUUUGCAUUCUAUCUUCCUAAAUCUUUCUCUUCUGUAACUUUGAUCUUUCUUUCUGUGCAACUGCAGCCAUGGCUCUUUUACCUAGAACCGCUUCACGUUUAGCCCCACUCUCCGUCCAUAAUUCAUCUCUUAUACACACAACAGUUCCAACCCUUUACUCAUCAUCAUCCAAGUCAACUUCUCCAGUUACAUACGCUGGAUCAAGGAAACCGGCGACGCCAACGACUGGGUUGUCGAAGGUGGCAGAGUAUGCCAUAACAAAGGUGGAUGAUCUGGUGAAUUGGGCAAGGAGAGGUUCCAUCUGGCCCAUGACUUUUGGGCUAGCAUGUUGUGCAGUUGAGAUGAUGCAUCUUGCAGCUGCUAGAUAUGAUAUGGAUAGGUUUGGACUCAUUUUCAGACCCAGCCCAAGACAAUCUGAUGUUAUGGUUGUGGCUGGAACUCUAACUAAUAAGAUGGCUCCUGCUUUAAGGAGGGUUUAUGAUCAAAUGCCGGAGCCAAGGUGGGUGAUCUCUAUGGGCAGCUGUGCCAAUGGAGGUGGCUAUUACCAUUACUCAUACUCUGUGGUU